CGGCUAACUCCGUGCCAGCAGCCGCGGUAAUACGGAGGGUGCGAGCGUUAAUCGGAAUUACUGGGCGUAAAGGGCACGCAGGCGGUUAAUUAAGUUGGAUGUGAAAUCCCCGGGCUUAACCUGGGAAUGGCAUUCAAGACUGGUUAGCUAGAGUCUUGUAGAGGGGGGUAGAAUUCCAUGUGUAGCGGUGAAAUGCGUAGAGAUAUGGAGGAAUACCGGUGGCGAAGGCGCCCCCCUGGCCAAAGACUGACGCUCAUGUGCGAAAGCGUGGGGAGCAAACAGGAUUAGAUACCCUGGUAGUCCACGCUGUAAACGAUGUCGAUUUGGAGGUUGUGGUCAUGAACUGUGGCCUCCGGAGCUAACGCGUUAAAUCGACCGCCUGGGGAGUACGGCCGCAAGGCUAAAACUCAAAUGAAUUGACGGGGGCCCGCACAAGCGGUGGAGCAUGUGGUUUAAUUCGAUGCAACGCGAAGAACCUUACCUACUCUUGACAUCCAGCGAAUCCUUUAGAGAUAGAGGAGUGCCUUCGGGAGCGCUGAGACAGGUGCUGCAUGGCUGUCGUCAGCUCGUGUUGUGAAAUGUUGGGUUAAGUCCCGCAACGAGCGCAACCCUUAUCCUUUGUUGCCAGCG
Molecule: ribosomal RNA, 630 nt
Filed under: Arsenophonus endosymbiont of Trialeurodes vaporariorum
Lineage: Bacteria; Pseudomonadati; Pseudomonadota; Gammaproteobacteria; Enterobacterales; Morganellaceae
Description: bacterial SSU rRNA
Rfam family: Bacterial small subunit ribosomal RNA
Source: RNAcentral